Molecule: non-coding RNA, 72 nt
Organism: Albula glossodonta (roundjaw bonefish)
Lineage: Eukaryota; Metazoa; Chordata; Actinopteri; Albuliformes; Albulidae
Source: the annotation of a GenBank genome assembly
AGCAGUGUUGUACAAUGGUUAGGACCCUGGCUUCUAAUUCAGAGAUGGUGGGUUCGAGUCCCAGGUAGGCUA